UGUUCAACAAAAAUAUGGGAAUAUUGAAAAUAACAUUGCGAAUUGAGGCCGAACAUCAGCAAGAACACCCCGCGAUAAAAUACAACUGGUCAAAAUUAUUAAGGCUGAUCGUCGCCAAUCUUUAAGAAAUUUGGCUUCUGAGUGGUCGCAGACAAUUGGCAAAACUGUCAAGCGAGAAUUACCGCGACCUCAUUUAAAAAAUAUUGGAUAAGGUUUUUAUAAAGCCAAGGAAAACCCCUUGCUUACGUUUCGUCAAAAAA
Long non-coding RNA from Drosophila arizonae, 260 nucleotides. The record is from RefSeq and is a predicted model, not a curated record. Lineage: Eukaryota; Metazoa; Arthropoda; Insecta; Diptera; Drosophilidae.